AUUGAACGCUGGCGGCAGGCCUAACACAUGCAAGUCGAGCGGAUGAAGGGAGCUUGCUCCUGGAUUCAGCGGCGGACGGGUGAGUAAUGCCUAGGAAUCUGCCUGGUAGUGGGGGAUAACGUCCGGAAACGGGCGCUAAUACCGCAUACGUCCUGAGGGAGAAAGUGGGGGAUCUUCGGACCUCACGCUAUCAGAUGAGCCUAGGUCGGAUUAGCUAGUUGGUGGGGUAAAGGCCUACCAAGGCGACGAUCCGUAACUGGUCUGAGAGGAUGAUAAGUCACACUGGAACUGAGACACGGUCCAGACUCCUACGGGAGGCAGCAGUGGGGAAUAUUGGACAAUGGGCGAAAGCCUGAUCCAGCCAUGCCGCGUGUGUGAAGAAGGUCUUCGGAGUGUAAAGCACUUUAAGUUGGGAGGAAGGGCAGUAAGUUAAUACCUUGCUGUUUUGACGUUACCAACAGAAUAAGCACCGGCUAACUUCGUG
This 484-nucleotide ribosomal RNA is filed under the name uncultured bacterium. Its description in RNAcentral is "partial 16S ribosomal RNA". It matches the Rfam family "Bacterial small subunit ribosomal RNA", at positions 30 to 507 of the family's 1533-position model. The record is from RNAcentral.